Molecule: ribosomal RNA, 602 nt
Filed under: uncultured bacterium
Lineage: Bacteria
Description: bacterial SSU rRNA
Rfam family: Bacterial small subunit ribosomal RNA
Source: RNAcentral
CCUACGGGAGGCAGCAGUAGGGAAUUUUCCGCAAUGGGCGAAAGCCUGACGGAGCAAUACCGCGUGAGGGAUGACUGCCUAUGGGUUGUAAACCUCUUUUUCAGGGAGGAAUAAAUGACGUGUACCUGAAGAAUAAGCAUCGGCUAACUCCGUGCCAGCAGCCGCGGUAAGACGGAGGAUGCAAGUGUUAUCCGGAAUCACUGGGCGUAAAGCGUCUGUAGGUGGCUCGACAAGUCAACUGUUAAAUCUUGAAGCUCAACUUCAAAAUCGCAGUCGAAACUAUCGGACUAGAGUAUAGUAGAGGUAAAGGGAAUUUCCAGUGGAGCGGUGAAAUGCGUAGAGAUUGGAAAGAACACCGAUGGCGAAGGCACUUUACUGGGCUAUUACUGACACUCAGAGACGAAAGCUAGGGUAGCAAAUGGGAUUAGGUACCCCAGUAGUCCUAGCCGUAAACAAUGGAUACUAGGUGUUGAACAGAUCGACCUGUGCAGUACCAAAGCUAACGCGUUAAGUAUCCCGCCUGGGAAGUAUGCACGCAGUAGUAGAACGUAAAGUAAGUAGACGGCGNGAGACGAGACGACGGACGACGACGAGGGAGGAGG